CCAACAGGGAUUGCCUCAGUAACGGCGAGUGAAGCGGCAACAGCUCAAAUUUGAAAGCUGGCUCUUUCAGGGCCCGCGUUGUAAUUUGUAGAGGAUGCUUCGGGUGCGGCGCUGGUCUAAGUUCUUUGGAACAAGACGUCAUAGAGGGUGAGAAUCCCGUAUGUGACUAGCUGCCUGUGCCUGUGUGAAGCUCCUUCGACGAGUCGAGUUGUUUGGGAAUGCAGCUCAAAAUGGGUGGUGUACUUCAUCUAAAGCUAAAUAUUGGCCAGAGACCGAUAGCGCACAAGUAGAGUGAUCGAAAGAUGAAAAGCACUUUGGAAAGAGAGUUAAACAGUACGUGAAAUUGUUGAAAGGGAAGCGCUUGCAAUCAGACUUGCGCGGCGUCGAUCAACCUGGGUUCUCCCUGGUGCACUCGGCGCUGCUCAGGCCAGCAUCAGUUUCAGCGGUUGGAUAAAGGCCUAGGGAACGUGGGUUACUUCGGUGACUGUUAUAGCCCUAGGUGCAAUGCAGCCUGUUGGGACUGAGGACCGCGCUUCGGCUAGGAUGCUGGCGUAAUGGUUGUAAGCGACCCGUCUUGAAACACGGACCAAGGAGUCUAACAUCUAUGCGAGUUUUUGGGUGUCAAACCCAUAAGCGUAAUGAAAGUGAACGGAGGUGAGAACCCUUAAGGGUGCAUCAUCGACCGAUCCUGAUGUCUUCGGAUGGAUUUGAGUAAGAGCAUAGCUGUUGGGACCCGAAAGAUGAUGAUCUAUACCUGAAUAGGGUGAAGCCAGAGGAAACUCUGGUGGAGGCUCGCAGCGGUUCUGACGUGCAAAUCGAUCGUCAAAUUUGGGUAUAGGGGCGAAAGACUAAUCGAA
This 857-nucleotide ribosomal RNA is filed under the name Cudonia confusa. RNAcentral's name for it is "eukaryotic LSU rRNA". It matches the Rfam family "Eukaryotic large subunit ribosomal RNA", at positions 65 to 939 of the family's 3401-position model. The record is from RNAcentral. Lineage: Eukaryota; Fungi; Ascomycota; Leotiomycetes; Rhytismatales; Cudoniaceae.